This 440-nucleotide ribosomal RNA is filed under the name uncultured bacterium. Its description in RNAcentral is "partial 16S ribosomal RNA". It matches the Rfam family "Bacterial small subunit ribosomal RNA", at positions 338 to 795 of the family's 1533-position model. The record is from RNAcentral.
CCUACGGGGGGCAGCAGUAGGGAAUAUUGCUCAAUGGGGGAAACCCUGAAGCAGCAACGCCGCGUGGAGGAUGAAGGUUUUCGGAUUGUAAACUCCUCUUGUUAGAGAAGAUAAUGACGGUAUCUAAAGAAUAAGCACCGGCUAACUCCGUGCCAGCAGCCGCGGUAAUACGGAGGGUGCAGGCGUUAUUCGGAAUCACUGGGCGUAAAGAGGGAGUAGGCGGGAUAGCAAGGCAGAUGUGAAAACCUAUGGCUUAACCAUAGAACUGCAUUUGAAACUGGUAUUCUAGAGUAUGGGAGAGGUAGGUGGAAUGCUUGGUGUAGCGGUAAAAUCCGUAGAGAUCAAGAGGAAUACUCAUUGCGAAGGCGACCUGCUAGAACAUAACUGACGCUGAUGCGCGAAAGCGUGGGGAGCAAACAGGAUUAGAUACCCGUGUAGUC